Mauremys reevesii (Reeves's turtle) is the source of this 1521-nucleotide long non-coding RNA. RefSeq lists it as uncharacterized. NCBI's taxonomy places the organism in Eukaryota, Metazoa, Chordata, Testudines, Geoemydidae. The transcript has 3 exons. The record is from RefSeq and is a predicted model, not a curated record.
GCCUGGGGCUAUAUACAAGUCUGAAGUAGGGGAAGCCAGAGUGGAAACUCUUCCUUCCUGGCUGCAGAGAUUGAAAUCCCUAAGGCUGAAACCCCCAAACUCACAGGAUUGAUGGCUGCCGCUCCCCUGUCAACGCUGCAAGAGGCGGAAGCGGAGUCGAAGUUCUGGAGUCGACGGGGAGCACAUUUGGGGAUUGAUUUAUCACAUCUAGACAAGCCGCGAUAAAUCGAUUCCUGAUAGAUUGAUCACUACCCGCUGAUCUGGUGGGUAGUGUAGACAUACUCUUAGAAGAAUCUUCUGAAAGAGGUUACUCCUCAGACAACACUCACUUGGAUGCCCAGGUGUCUGAUGCGGUCAACAGUAAAGGAGAUCCUGAGUAUCCCAAUGGUAGUGAUAGAUAGGUGGGAAACCUCUAGCCACCCCUUUUCUGGAGUCAUUUUACUUAUAAAGGAAAUUUAAUUUUGGUGGUGCAUCCACCACCAAUUUAGAAAAAUACCAUAUAGGAGAUUGAGAUUAAAAUGUCUCAACCACUUUAAAUCAAUGAGAGGCUUCAGUAAAUCAAUUAAUGCAGUUUACAGUAACAAAUAAAAUUAAAUUUGUGUUUACACUGGCCCCAUUUACCCCACCCCUGAGCAUGCACUCCUCUGAAUUUGAGUUCUAGAUGCUUGCUUGGGUGUGCCUGAAGAUCUUGAAGCUGAGGCAGCACUCUGUUGGUCCAGUAAAGCAGACCAGCCAAGGCAGAGCAAUUCUAAUGUGGGAGUUAUGUAGCUUGGAACAAUCCCAUCUUCAGAGGGAUUAAAACCAGAGGUCAGGAACCCUGGAUCCUGCUUGGAUGAGACCACCACUGCUUCCUUUCUCAGACUCUGGGGAAACCCCUUUGGAAACUGCUGCUUAAACUGUGGGUUGCAAUCGUAACUGGGGUUGCUCCAUCAGCAAAUGGGAUCACAGCAAUUCUGAAUGUGCAGAGGAUCCCAUUAUAUAAAGCAAAAUUCCAUCCUCCACGUGACAUGAACUUGCACAUAUGAUGCAUGUGAGGUCACACUGCAUGGAGAAUAGCAACCUCUCUACUGUUUGGGGUUGCCAGAGGCAAUUCAUGUUAAAAUGGGGUCAUGCAGGGAAAAUGUUUGGGAUCUUCUGCCCUAAAGUCUCUUUGAUAUCCCCAUUUCCCAAACAACAAAGGUGGUGGUUACACUGCCCGCACUGCAGGCCAACUUCAGUCAGUUCUGGACACAAGAAGUGUCUCUACCCUGGCUCCAGUGAAAGCCAGCAAUAGUCUCCAUAGCUCCCUGCUUGGUCAAAGCCCCAGCAGUUUCUCAGCAGCAACUUCUGCCUUGGACAGAGCCCACAAGGAAAUCUUCCAUUUUCUGACCAGGAUUUCAGCUCCUCACAAAAUGGACCCCUCCACCUUGGUGGCUGCAGCCAAAAAAUGAGGCUCCCUGUACCCUGGAAUUGGAAGGCUCUCUUCUCAAAGGCAUCCUGGGACUUGUGGUCUCCAAGGCUGAUCUGAUCCAAGAGGCAACU